This 486-nucleotide ribosomal RNA is filed under the name uncultured bacterium. RNAcentral describes it as "bacterial SSU rRNA". It matches the Rfam family "Bacterial small subunit ribosomal RNA", at positions 33 to 507 of the family's 1533-position model. The record is from RNAcentral.
GACGACGCUGGCGGCGUGGAUUAGGCAUGCAAGUCGAACGGUAGGGUUCCUUCGGGGACCUGAGAGUGGCGAACGGGUGAGUAACACGUAGGUAAUCUACCCUCAAAUCGGGGACAACCCAGGGAAACUUGGGCUAAUACCGGAUGAGUGCGCUUUCGGGUGCAUAAAAGGUGGCGUAAGCUGCUGUUUGGGGAUGAGCCUGCGCUCUAUUAGUUAGUUGGUGAGGUAACGGCUUACCAAGGCGAUGAUAGAUAGGCGGCCUUAACGGGUGGUCGCCCACACUGGGAUUGAGAUACGGCCCAGACUCCGUACGGGAGGCAGCAGUCGAGAAUAGUCUACAAUGGACGAAAGUCUGAUAGUGCGACGCCGCGUGAACGAAGAAGCCCUUCGGGGUGUAAAGUUCUUUUAUAUGUGAGCAAUGCUUCCUAGGUGAAUAGUUUAGGGAGAGAGAUAUUAGCAUAUGAAUAAGCAACGGCUAACUCCGUG